Molecule: ribosomal RNA, 247 nt
Filed under: uncultured crenarchaeote
Lineage: Archaea; Thermoproteati; Thermoproteota
Description: partial 16S ribosomal RNA
Rfam family: Archaeal small subunit ribosomal RNA
Source: RNAcentral
AGCUCUCCGAGUGGUGUGGAUGUUUAUUGGGCCUAAAGCAUCCGUAGCUGGCCAAGCAAGUCCCUUGUUAAACCCACCGAAUUAAUCGUUGGAUUGCGGGGGAUACUGCUCGGCUAGGGGACGAGAGAGGCAGACGGUAUUUUCGGGGUAGGGGUGAAAUCCUAUAAUCCCGGGAAGACCACCAGUGGCGAAGGCUGUCUGCUAGAACGCGCCCGACGGUGAGGGAUGAAAGCUGGGGGAGCGAACC